CGCCGGGCAGCAGUUCCAGUGCGGUUCUCGUGCCCACAGUCUGCUGCUUUACAGAACAGAGAGGAAGGAUGAUCUUGUGCUUAAGGAACUCAGUGAAAGUCUUUUAAACUGGAAGCCAAUGAAUAAAUGCUGCCUAAGGAGGAAGCUGAAAUGUGAACUCUGCUCAGCAUGCUACAGCUCCCACAGAGGCUGGACAGCCUACAGUUAUCUUUGGCACAGUUUCCCAUGCAUUGAAGUGAUGUUAUAAGGGCGCUCUUUUAAAUGAAAGAAAAAUACACACAUAAAACUGA
Long non-coding RNA from Alligator mississippiensis (American alligator), 290 nucleotides. RefSeq lists it as uncharacterized. Lineage: Eukaryota; Metazoa; Chordata; Crocodylia; Alligatoridae. The record is from RefSeq and is a predicted model, not a curated record. The transcript has 2 exons.